ACCGGAAGGUGCACUUGGAAAAAUCAGGGCUUAGCUAAGCAUAGAUAUAGCAUCUCC
This 57-nucleotide transfer RNA is filed under the name Pseudomugil signifer (Pacific blue-eye). Its description in RNAcentral is "tRNA-Val". The record is from RNAcentral. Lineage: Eukaryota; Metazoa; Chordata; Actinopteri; Atheriniformes; Pseudomugilidae.